Molecule: ribosomal RNA, 442 nt
Filed under: uncultured Oscillospiraceae bacterium
Lineage: Bacteria; Bacillati; Bacillota; Clostridia; Eubacteriales; Oscillospiraceae
Description: bacterial SSU rRNA
Rfam family: Bacterial small subunit ribosomal RNA
Source: RNAcentral
CCUACGGGAGGCUGCAGUGGGGAAUAUUGGGCAAUGGGCGAAAGCCUGACCCAGCGACGCCGCGUGAAGGAUGAAGGUCUUCGGAUUGUAAACUUCUUUGAUCAGGGAAGAAUAAAUGACGGUACCUGAGGAACAAGCCACGGCUAACUACGUGCCAGCAGCCGCGGUAAUACGUAGGUGGCAAGCGUUGUCCGGAUUUACUGGGUGUAAAGGGCGUGUAGGCGGGGAUACAAGUCAGAUGUGAAAUCCCAUGGCUCAACCAUGGAACUGCAUCUGAAACUGUAUUUCUUGAGUAUCGGAGGGGAAAGUGGAAUUCCUAGUGUAGCGGUGAAAUGCGUAGAUAUUAGGAGGAACACCGGUGGCGAAGGCGACUUUCUGGACGAUAACUGACGCUGAUACGCGAAAGCGUGGGGAGCAAACAGGAUUAGAUACCCUAGUAGUC